Long non-coding RNA from Cyprinodon tularosa, 400 nucleotides. RefSeq lists it as uncharacterized. Lineage: Eukaryota; Metazoa; Chordata; Actinopteri; Cyprinodontiformes; Cyprinodontidae. The transcript is spliced from 2 exons. The record is from RefSeq and is a predicted model, not a curated record.
GGCAGCAGAGCAGGAACAGUCAGCACCACUGAUCAGUGAAACAUGGCAGGACUCAGCAAAAGCAGGUGUUCCUGGACCGACAGAUAUCUCCCAGUCAAGAGCAGAACAGCCCAAGCAGCCACAACUAAACAUCUUCCCUAGAACCUGUCAUGGGGACAGGAAAAUAUGUUUUUCUAAAGAGUGGUACAGCAGAUAUAAAUGGCUCGAAUAUUCUCAGAGUAAAGACUCUGUAUAUUUAUAUAAUAUAUAUAUAUAAUAUAUAUUUUUAUAUAUUAAGAAUAAGUUAACAUAUAAGUGUUUCUUGUAAUCUUUUUUUUGUAUCCUUGUAAUCAUUAUAUGACCGUUGUUCCCUGUUGGGAAAUUCCUGUUACAUAAAUAAAGAUAUAAUUUCUUAUUUUUA